AAAGGGUAGCAAUACCUGAGUACAGUGGCGCACGGGUGAGUAACACGUGAAUAAUCUACCUCCGAGUGGGGAAUAACUUAGGGAAACCUGAGCUAAUACCGCAUAACACUUACGAGUCAAAGCAGCAAUGCGCUUGGAGAGGAGUUCGCGGCAGAUUAGCUAGUUGGCGGGGUAAUGGCCCACCAAGGCGAUGAUCUGUAUCCGGCCUGAGAGGGCGCACGGACACACUGGAACUGAAACACGGUCCAGACUCCUACGGGAGGCAGCAGUGGGGAAUUUUGCGCAAUGGGGGAAACCCUGACGCAGCAACGCCGCGUGGAGGAUGAAAUCCCUUGGGAUGUAAACUCCUUUCGAUCGGGACGAUUAUGACGGUACCGGAAGAAGAAGCCCCGGCUAACUUCGUGCCAGCAGCCGCGGUAAUACGAGGGGGGCAAGCGUUGUUCGGAAUUAUUGGGCGUAAAGGGUGCGUAGGCGGUUUGAUAAGUCUUGUGUGAAAUCUCUGGGCUCAACCCAGAGUCUGCACAGGAAACUGUCGGGCUUGAGUAUGGGAGAGGUGAGUGGAAUUUCCGGUGUAGCGGUGAAAUGCGUAGAUAUCGGAAGGAACACCUGUGGCGAAAGCGGCUCACUGGACCAUUACUGACGCUGAUGCACGAAAGCUAGGGGAGCAAACAGGAUUAGAUACCCUGGUAGUCCUAGCCCUAAACGAUGAUUGCUUGAUGUGGAGGGUACCCAAUCCUUCCGUGUCGAAGCUAACGCGAUAAGCAAUCCGCCUGGGGAGUACGGUCGCAAGGCUGAAACUC
Molecule: ribosomal RNA, 800 nt
Filed under: uncultured Pseudomonadota bacterium
Lineage: Bacteria; Pseudomonadati; Pseudomonadota
Description: bacterial SSU rRNA
Rfam family: Bacterial small subunit ribosomal RNA
Source: RNAcentral